Molecule: ribosomal RNA, 2641 nt
Filed under: bovine gut metagenome
Description: bacterial LSU rRNA
Rfam family: Bacterial large subunit ribosomal RNA
Source: RNAcentral
ACAGUGAAUUUUGGUGGUCAAGCUACUAAGAGCACUAGAUGGAUGCCUNNUAAGCUGCGAUAAGCCGCGGGUAGCUGCAAACAAGCUUUGAUCCGCGGAUUUCCGAAUGGAGCAAUCCGGCAGAGGUAAUGCUCUGUCACCUGAAACUGAAUCCAUAGGUUUCAGGAGCGAUACUCAGGGAAGUGAAACAUCUCAGUACCUGAAGGAGAAGAAAUCAAUCGAGAUUCCGUAAGUAGUGGCGAACGAAAGCGGAAGAGGCUAAACCGGCCGGUUUACCGACCGGGGUUGCGGGACCCUAANNGAACGGUCUGGAAAGUCCGAUCAUAGAAGGUGAAAAUCCUGUAAGCGAAAACCGAAGCGAGUCCAGGGGUAUCCCAAGUAGGACGUCACACGUGAAACGACGCCUGAAUCCGGGGAGACCACUCUCCAAGCCUAAAUACUAGUCAAUGACCGAUAGUGAACAAGUACCGCGAGGGAAAGGUGAAAAAGCACCCUUAUGAAGGGAGUUAAAAGUACCUGAAAUCCAGUGCUUACAAAGUGUGGGAGCGCCGCAAGGUGUGACCGCAUGCCUUUUGCAUAAUGAGCUUGCGACUUACGUUCAGCAGCGAGGUUAAGCCAGUAGGCGAAGCCGAAGCGAAAGCGAGUGUGAACAGCGCGCUAAGUUGCUGGAAGUAGACCCGAAGCUGAGUGAUCUAUCCAUGUCCAGGUUGAAUCUUCGGUAACACGAAGUGGAGGACCGAACCGGUUCAUGUUGAAAAAUGUUCGGAUGAGGUGUGGAUAGGAGCGAAAGACCAAUCAAACUCAGUGAUAGCUGGUUCUCUUCGAAAUAUCUUGAGGGAUAGCCUUGUGCAUAACUACGUGCCGGGGGUAGAGCUCUGAUUGUUCGAGGGUCCUUUACCUGGAUACCAACAACUGUCAAACUCCAAAUACCGGACACGCCUAUCACAGGAGUCAGACUGCGGGGGAUAAGCUUCGUAGUCGAGAGGGCAACAGCCCAGAUCGCCGGCUAAGGUCCCUAAUUCAAGCUAAGUGGAUCGAAGGAUGUGGAGUUGCGUAAACAGUCAGGAUGUUGGCUCAGAGGCAGCCAUCAUUUAAAGAUCGCGUAAUAGCGCACUGAUCGAGUGAUUCCGCGCCGAAGAUAAUCGGGACUAAGCUUNNUCGUAAGAUGAGGUGGACUUCAUACAAGUGACCAUGCAAGCAUGAGUAGCGAAAAACCGGAUGAGAAUUCCGGUCACCGAUAGACUAAGGUUUCCUGGGCCAGGUUCGUCCGCUCAGGGUUAGUCGGGCCUAAGGCGAGGCCGAAAGGCGUAGUCGAUGGACAACUGGUUAAUAUUCCAGUACCGCCUUGUUAUGUGAUGGAAUGANNNNNCCGUACCGCAAACCGACACAGGUAGUCAAGGCGAGAAGCCUGAGGUGCGCGAGUGAAACCACUUUAAGGAACUCGGCAAAUUGACCCCGUAACUUCGGAAGAAGGGGUGCCUCGUAAGAGGUUGCAACAAAGAGGCCGCGGCGACUGUUUAACAAAAACACAGCACUCUGCCAACUCGCAAGAGGAUGUAUAGGGUGUGACACGUGACCAAUGCCCAAAGCUCAAAUGGAUCUGUUAGCGCAAGCGAAGCAGUGAUAUGAAGGCCGGGUGAAUGUCGGCCGUAACUAUAACGGUCCUAAGGUAGCGAAAUUCCUUGUCGGGCAAGUUCCGACCUGCACGAAUCGUGUAACGAUCUGGGCGCUGUCUCAACGAGGAUCUCGGUGAAGUUGUAGUGCCGGUGAAAAUGCCGGAUACCUGCAGUAGGACGGAAAGACCCUGUGAACCUUUACUGUAAUCUGAUAUUGGUAUUCGGGCAAUCAUGUGUAGCAUAGGUGGGAGACUUCGAAGCCGCGGCGCCAGCCCCGGUGGAGUCUUCAGUGAAAUACCACCCUUGGUUGUUUGAAUCUCUAACCUUCUCCCGUCUAUCCGGGUAAGGGACCGUGUCAGAGGGUCAGUUUGACUGGGGCGGUUUCCUCCAAAAUUGUAACGGAGGAGCACGAAGGUACAUUCAGCACGGUUGGCAAUCGUGCUUAGAGCGUAAGGGCAUAAAUGUGCUUGACUGCGAGACUUACAAGUCGAGCAGAUGCGAAAGCAGGUCCUAGUGAUCCAGCGAUGGAACGUGGAAUCGUCGUUGCUCAACGGACAAAAGGUACUCCGGGGAUAACAGGCUGAUAGCGCCCAAGCGUCCAUAGCGACGGCGCUGUUUGGCACCUCGAUGUCGGCUCAUCUCAUCCUGGGGCUGUAGAAGGUCCCAAGGGUCCGGCUGUUCGCCGGUUAAAGAGGUACGCGAGCUGGGUUCAAAACGUCGCAAGACAGUUUGGUCCUUAUCCACUGCGGGCGCAGGACAUUUGACAAGAUCAUUCCUUAGUACGAGAGGACCGGGAAUGACUGACCUCUGGUAUUCCAGUUGUCUCUAAAGAGGCAGCGCUGGGUAGCUACGUCGGGAAAGGAUAAGCGCUGAAAGCAUCUAAGCGCCAAGCCCCCUUGAAGAUGAGAUGUCCCUGGAUCUUUGAUCCCUGAAGACCACUUGAAGACCACAAGUUCGAUAGGAUGCACGUGUAAGGGCAGCAAUGCCUUCAGCUUAGCAUUACUAACCGGUCGUGAGGCUUGACC